RNAcentral lists this ribosomal RNA (465 nucleotides) under uncultured bacterium. RNAcentral's name for it is "partial 16S ribosomal RNA". It matches the Rfam family "Bacterial small subunit ribosomal RNA", at positions 338 to 795 of the family's 1533-position model. The record is from RNAcentral.
CCUACGGGAGGCAGCAGUGGGGAAUAUUGCGCAAUGGGCGAAAGCCUGACGCAGCGACGCCGCGUGAGGGAUGAAGGUCUUCGGAUUGUAAACCUCUGUCAGCAGGGAAGAAAGGUCACUGUGCUAAUCAGCAGUGAAUUGACGGUACCUGCAAAGGAAGCACCGGCUAACUCCGUGCCAGCAGCCGCGGUAAUACGGAGGGUGCGAGCGUUAACCGGAAUUAUUGGGCGUAAAGCGGUCGCAGGCGGGAUGUCAAGUCAAGGGUGAAAUCCCCGAGCUCAACGUGGGGACUGCCUUUGAAACUGGCAAACUGGAGUGUGUGAGAGGAUAGUGGAAUUCCAGGUGUAGGAGUGAAAGCCGUAGAUAUCUGGAGGAACAUCAGUGGCGAAGGCGACUAUCUGGCACGUAACUGACGCUGAGGAGCGAAAGCGUGGGUAGCAAACAGGAUUAGAUACCCGGGUAGUC